Molecule: long non-coding RNA, 2446 nt
Organism: Columba livia (rock pigeon)
Lineage: Eukaryota; Metazoa; Chordata; Aves; Columbiformes; Columbidae
Exons: 3
Source: RefSeq, a predicted model, not a curated record
AUUUUUAAUACUCCUUCAUUGCUCCCACUAGGUAGAUGAGAAGGCUGAACAAAUUCAAAUAUGAAGACACAGAAGGAAAUAGUCUUAACUAAUGUCGUAGAUAAUCAAUGCAAAUCAGAACUCAUCAACAAUGAACUUUUUAAAAUUGAACUUUUUCUACUUUACCCAUUUGAAUUUCCAAAAUAUUUUUCUUAGCUAAACAGCAUUGACAGUGUAGUGGAAGAGACGUAGUUUUAAAUACUCUUUUAAGAAUUAGAAGCAGUAUGAAAUAAAAGAUUAAUAUGCCAGCACUGCAAUAUUUGAAUAAAGAUAAUUUAUGAUCUUGUUACACCCUCAGUGUGGUUAUUGUCAUUUCCCUGACCAGUGCAGCUACAUUGCUUUGCUCAUCCUGCUGUGAGUCCUUGCAGGAUCCCAGGGGAAGCAUUUUCUUAUCACUGUUGCCAAGGGCAUGGCUUACCAACCCUGCACGAUCGAAGAAGGGAUCUAGUCUGAAACUCAUCCUUCUUACCUACCUGGCCCAGGACAUAACCUCAUCACGGCAAAAAGAAGAGACUAUACUGAGGAAAUUGAUGCAGGUUGAGAACAAUUUAUAUGUCAUUUGGGACAAAUCACCCCACAAAUCAUAGCUGUCCAGCCUCCAUUCCCUUCCUUAACUGAUCUAUUGCUCUAACGAGUCCUAUUAAUAUAAGGUCUUGCAGUGUAAUUAAUCUUCCUCCAGGACACAAGCAGAAUGUCAGCCACAGUGGAAGCCUCACUGUUCUCUUCACACUUUGCAACUCUUACAUACCCUGUUAGUAGGAUUUUAAUGAGUAGAAAUCAUCCGUGUCUUUCAGUGUGAAAAAUUUACAAAAUAAGUUGAGAUUUUUUUUUUUAAAGCAAUUUUUUUUUUUUUUUUAAUACAGAUGAGGGUUAUUUCUCCUCAUUAAGAUGUUAAUGAGAUGCUGACAAGUGUAUGGUAUUUUUAACACAAUUAACUGUAGGGCUAUUUUUGUUCUUUUCAAGCUAUUUUUCAAUGUGCCUUUUAUUUUCUAAGUAGCUCAUCAUGUAAUUAGGGAUAAUGAAGCAGUUCAGUCUCAAAACCAGAAAACCAACCAAAAAAAAAAAGAGAGAAAAAAAGGAAAAAACAAAACAAAACAAAACAACCACUCAAACAAAACAAAACAACAUCCAGACACUCUUGAUCCUUUUGAAAGGAAAAAAAAUGAUAAUUUGUAGGGUUAGAAUAAACAUAUACAGAUUAUAUUCAUAUAUUUCAAGAAAAACUGUUCCUGAUGCACCAUAUUAAGGAUUCUGUUCUGAAGAAUAAGCUUUUCUGUAUUUACCCGUUGAAGUGAGCAGCCACUCGCUGAAAACAAAAGCUCCUGCUGAAGAUUGCUGAAGGCAAAAGAUGGAGAAGCUGUUCUGGAAAGAGAGCUGCAUCAGUCUUUGUCCUUCACCUUUCUCAAGGCUGAACUUAGGGAUGUAAACACCUCUGACCUUGGUAUGCAGGCUUAUCUGGAUCUCCACUUUGCAACUGGACCACCCGGAAGAAUUUAAACAAAGUAACAGAAGUUCACAAUGGCGCAGUGUCAGCUGCAUCUGAACAUAUUUGGGUGUUGCUGGAAUAAGUGAAACUAUUGCAAUGCUCAGUAAAACAAGCUCUGAACACAAAAACUUCUCAUUAAAUUUUGAAGUGGCCAGAGCUCCUCCAAUGCUGCUCCAACUGAUGCCAGUCACAAAAUGACUCUUGAUGCCUAUGGGAGAUGCACUAGUGUCCUGGUUUUGCUAAAAACAAGUUUCUCUUUUGGUGGGUUUUGCCUGUCAGCUAAAGCCUUCAUAUUGGCUGCAUUUUCCUGGAGAACCAGACACAUGUUUUGGUAAACCUAGCAAUGGAAUGCAAACUUAUUGAUAAGCACGGAUGGACAUCUUGCGAGAGGGGCGACGAGAAACAAGUGACCAAGAAACUGACCAACUGUGUAUAACAUUCCAUUCACGUGAAUACUUCAUAUAAAAGUGGGAGAUCACGAGGAUCUCGUCCCUUUCCCUUUUUUCUUAUGGCCGACAUUAGGAGAGGACCUUGCUAGUCGUCCCUGCAAACUGAGGCCUAGUGAGAGACUGAAUCCAGCUCCAAUUGGCUGCAGAGUCUAAUCCAGGACUUUGGUUGCCGGCUCUGCAGUUGCUGAGACUUUCAAGAUUGGUUUUGUAUAUUUUGUAUUAUUUUCUCUAUUCUUAUUAGUAGCAUUAGUAAAACAUUGUUGAUUUUUCCAACUCUCUUCUCUCUGUCCUUCUUUCCCUCCCGAUCACCUGUCCUGAGUGGGAAGGGGGGGGGAGGGAGGGGCAAAAGGGGGAAGUAGGGGGGGAGAGGGGGUUAACAAUACAUCUGCCAGGGUUUUAUUGUCACCCCACAAUCUUAACCCUCGACAACUAGACUAGCCUGUAUCCUUUCUAUAUACUCACUGUUUUUCAG